RNAcentral lists this ribosomal RNA (669 nucleotides) under Triticum aestivum (bread wheat). RNAcentral describes it as "partial small subunit ribosomal RNA". The record is from RNAcentral. Lineage: Eukaryota; Viridiplantae; Streptophyta; Magnoliopsida; Poales; Poaceae.
AUGGUGGGCACUGGUCAGAUCUCAGGGAAGACCGGGCUCAAACUUGCUGCAGAGGAGUACUGCCCUGUACUAGAAUAUCAUGAUGGCCAUGGCAAAGCAGUUCCUGUAGGCGUUGCUGCUCCUGUUGUCCAACCCCUUCCUGGCCUUUCCAGGUUGGGUUCCCGUGAGCGGCGUCAUCAGCUUAGGCACCAACCUCGUCUCCUCAAGUUUGAUGGUCCAGUCCCCAGUGAGGAAGAAAUCUUAGUCGACGACGCUGGCAGUGGCACUAGCUCCAGUGCCCCUGCUCUUGCAGCAUUCGAGCAUAUUUUUAUCCGCAGCUUGAAAGGGGAGGAUGAAGGAAUUUUGCAGCUACUAUGCCAUACACCAUUAGAAGAUAAAGACACUCCUUGUGUCUUCGCUCCCCCCUUGUGUGUUUAUGAUGGCAGCUCCGCAUCAUGGUGCGAGGCACCGGUGGCUGCAGAAUGGCUGGAAGAGAGUUAUCCUGCAUGGGCACAUAGACCAGGAUACAUUGUACAUUGUAUCUCAGGAUAUAGCAACAUGAGAUGUUCAAGUUGGAGGAUGUUAUCCAAUGAGAUGAAGAAUGAAGGUUUUGAUGUCAAGUAUGAGAAUGAUGCAAGGAUCUGCAUCUUGGUGGAAGGAUGUGAGGAUGGGGCUGUAGUUUCCCACUAG